Molecule: ribosomal RNA, 608 nt
Filed under: uncultured bacterium
Lineage: Bacteria
Description: bacterial SSU rRNA
Rfam family: Bacterial small subunit ribosomal RNA (bases 1-516)
Source: RNAcentral
CCUACGGGAGGCAGCAGUGGGGAAUCUUGCGCAAUGGGCGAAAGCCUGACGCAGCCAUGCCGCGUGAAUGAUGAAGGUCUUAGGAUUGUAAAAUUCUUUCAGUAGGGACGAUAAUGACGGUACCUACAGAAGAAGCCCCGGCUAACUUCGUGCCAGCAGCCGCGGUAAUACGAAGGGGGCUAGCGUUGCUCGGAAUUACUGGGCGUAAAGGGAGCGUAGGCGGGUUAUCAAGUUGGAGGUGAAAGCCCAGGGCUCAACCUUGGAAUUGCCUUCAAAACUGAUAGCCUAGAGUAUGAUAGAGGUAUGUGGAACUCCGAGUGUAGAGGUGAAAUUCGUAGAUAUUCGGAAGAACACCAGUGGCGAAGGCGACAUACUGGGUCAUGACUGACGCUGAGGCUCGAAAGCGUGGGGAGCAAACAGGAUUAGAUACCCUGGUAGUCCACGCUGUAAACGAUGAUUGCUAGUUGUCGGACGGCAUGCCGUUCGGUGACGCAGCUACGCAUAAGACACUCCGCCGUCGGGAGGUACGGUCGCGAAGAAUUAAACGUUAAAACGGUAAAGUUAGUACGGCGUGAGACGUGCCGACGGACGACGACGAGGGAGGUAGG